This 599-nucleotide ribosomal RNA is filed under the name uncultured bacterium. RNAcentral describes it as "bacterial SSU rRNA". The stretch from base 1 to 516 matches the Rfam family "Bacterial small subunit ribosomal RNA", at positions 338 to 873 of the family's 1533-position model. The record is from RNAcentral.
CCUACGGGAGGCAGCAGUGGGGAAUCUUGCGCAAUGGGCGAAAGCCUGACGCAGCCAUGCCGCGUGAAUGAUGAAGGUCUUAGGAUUGUAAAAUUCUUUCACCGGGGACGAUAAUGACGGUACCCGGAGAAGAAGCCCCGGCUAACUUCGUGCCAGCAGCCGCGGUAAUACGAAGGGGGCUAGCGUUGCUCGGAAUUACUGGGCGUAAAGGGAGCGUAGGCGGAUAGUUUAGUCAGAGGUGAAAGCCCAGGGCUCAACCUUGGAAUUGCCUUUGAUACUGGCUAUCUUGAGUUUGGGAGAGGUGAGUGGAACUCCGAGUGUAGAGGUGAAAUUCGUAGAUAUUCGGAAGAACACCAGUGGCGAAGGCGACUCACUGGCCCAAUACUGACGCUGAGGCUCGAAAGCGUGGGGAGCAAACAGGAUUAGAUACCCUGGUAGUCCACGCCGUAAACGAUGAGUGCUAGUUGUCGGCANGCAUGCAUGUCGGUGACGCAGCUACGCAUAAGACACNCCGCCGUCGGGAGGUACGGUCGCGAGAGUAAACGUACGAAAGUUAAGUUAGUAGCGUUGAGAGNGCGAGGACGACGACGAGGGAGAGG